RNAcentral lists this ribosomal RNA (207 nucleotides) under uncultured bacterium. Its description in RNAcentral is "partial 16S ribosomal RNA". It matches the Rfam family "Bacterial small subunit ribosomal RNA", at positions 1278 to 1500 of the family's 1533-position model. The record is from RNAcentral.
AAAGCCAGUCCCAGUUCGGAUAAGAGGCUGAAACUCGCCUCUUUGAAGUCGGAAUCGCUAGUAAUCGCAGAUCAGCAUGUUGCGGUGAAUACGUUCCCGGGUCUUGUACACACCGCCCGUCAAACCAUGAGAGUCACCAACACCCGAAGUCCGCCUUGGCGGCCUAAGGUGGGGGAGAUGAUUGGGGUUAAGUCGUAACAAGGUACC